Molecule: transfer RNA, 63 nt
Filed under: Spurilla braziliana
Lineage: Eukaryota; Metazoa; Mollusca; Gastropoda; Nudibranchia; Aeolidiidae
Description: tRNA-Ala
Source: RNAcentral
GUUACUAUACUUUAUAUAGAAGUUUUGGUUUGCAACUAAAUAGAGGGGAAAGCCCCUAGUACC